This 657-nucleotide ribosomal RNA is filed under the name uncultured bacterium. RNAcentral describes it as "bacterial SSU rRNA". It matches the Rfam family "Bacterial small subunit ribosomal RNA", at positions 67 to 719 of the family's 1533-position model. The record is from RNAcentral.
CGGCAGCACGGGAGCAAUCCUGGUGGCGAGUGGCGAACGGGUGAGUAAUACAUCGGAACGUGCCCAGUAAUGGGGGAUAACCCGGCGAAAGCCGGACUAAUACCGCAUACGACCUACGGGUGAAAGCGGGGGAUCGCAAGACCUCGCGUUAUUGGAGCGGCCGAUGGCAGAUUAGCUAGUUGGUGGGGUAAAAGCCCACCAAGGCGACGAUCUGUAGCUGGUCUGAGAGGACGACCAGCCACACUGGGACUGAGACACGGCCCAGACUCCUACGGGAGGCAGCAGUGGGGAAUUUUGGACAAUGGGCGGAAGCCUGAUCCAGCCAUGCCGCGUGUGGGAAGAAGGCCUUCGGGUUGUAAACCACUUUUGUCAGGGAAGAAACGCUCUAGGUUAAUACCUUGGAGUAAUGACGGUACCUGAAGAAUAAGCACCGGCUAACUACGUGCCAGCAGCCGCGGUAAUACGUAGGGUGCAAGCGUUAAUCGGAAUUACUGGGCGUAAAGCGUGCGCAGGCGGCUUUGCAAGACAGAUGUGAAAUCCCCGGGCUCAACCUGGGAACUGCAUUUGUGACUGCAUGGCUAGAGUGCGGCAGAGGGGGAUGGAAUUCCGCGUGUAGCAGUGAAAUGCGUAGAUAUGCGGAGGAACACCGAUGGCGAA